Molecule: ribosomal RNA, 374 nt
Filed under: uncultured bacterium
Lineage: Bacteria
Description: bacterial SSU rRNA
Rfam family: Bacterial small subunit ribosomal RNA
Source: RNAcentral
UACGUAGGGUGCAAGCGUUAAUCGGAAUUACUGGGCGUAAAGCGUGCGCAGGCGGUUUUGUAAGACAGGCGUGAAAUCCCCGGGCUCAACCUGGGAAUUGCGCUUGUGACUGCAAAGCUGGAGUGCGGCAGAGGGGGAUGGAAUUCCGCGUGUAGCAGUGAAAUGCGUAGAUAUGCGGAGGAACACCGAUGGCGAAGGCAAUCCCCUGGGCCUGCACUGACGCUCAUGCACGAAAGCGUGGGGAGCAAACAGGAUUAGAUACCCUGGUAGUCCACGCCCUAAACGAUGUCAACUGGUUGUUGGGUAUUUACUUACUCAGUAACGAAGCUAACGCGUGAAGUUGACCGCCUGGGGAGUACGGCCGCAAGGUUGAA